CCUGAAGUUCUAAUCAUCCAAACGGCUACUCUGUUGCCAGGCGUCACAUCAAUAAUCCGGGAAGAAAACAAGAGGAAAGGCAGGGGGCUGAUACUUUUGAGUAUUGCUGUGGACUGAAGUGUGUCCCCCAAAUUCCUGUGUUGAAGCUCACCCUCAGCAUGACUGUGUGUGGACACAGGACCUAGCAGGAGAAGAAAGGUCAUGUGAGGAUAUGGCAAGGAGGCAUCCAUCUACUCAUCAGGAAGAGUGGUUUAACCAGGAACCAACCCAGCCAGCAACCUAAUCUUAGAUUUCCAGCCACUACAA
This is a long non-coding RNA of Odocoileus virginianus texanus, 306 nucleotides long. RefSeq lists it as uncharacterized. The record is from RefSeq and is a predicted model, not a curated record. NCBI's taxonomy places the organism in Eukaryota, Metazoa, Chordata, Mammalia, Artiodactyla, Cervidae.